This 22-nucleotide microRNA is filed under the name Echinococcus granulosus. Its description in RNAcentral is "egr-miR-10272-5p". The record is from miRBase by way of RNAcentral. Lineage: Eukaryota; Metazoa; Platyhelminthes; Cestoda; Cyclophyllidea; Taeniidae.
GAGCGGCUGUUGAACUAGUACC